RNAcentral lists this unclassified non-coding RNA (1262 nucleotides) under Hevea brasiliensis (rubber tree). Lineage: Eukaryota; Viridiplantae; Streptophyta; Magnoliopsida; Malpighiales; Euphorbiaceae. The record is from RNAcentral.
GGGUUGGUGUUCUUCAUAAAAGUUGUAGUACUAUGUCAUAUCUUUCCAAUGCUAUAAAAAUCAGGUCAUUUGGACAUUCUUAGACCAAGUUAUGGCCAAAUGAACAAAUACUAUUCAUUUGGUCACUUUUACCAAGUCCAAAAUCGGUUACCCGGAUUUGGCCAAUUUUUUAUGUCAUCCUAAGUUUAUUUUCUGGGCAAGGUUUCUUCAUCAAAGUUGUGCCAUUAUGUGUCUAGUUUCAUGUCCAAUUGGCCUUGCACCAAUUGAACCUACACCUCUCAAGUUACAGCUGCCCAAACUUGCUGGACUCACAUCCAGCCCUGCAGGUCCUAUGAGGCAGCAUACCCAACCUCAAAUCCAAAGCCACAAUUCACUUCAAUUCCUUAUCAAACACAGCCAAAUGGUCACUAAUUGACCAUUAGAAUGUCCUUUAACCAUUUCAUAAGCCAAGUCAAAUUUUCAUUCCUAAACCCUAGCUAAAUUUCAAAGUUUUCACAAUUUCCCUAAUUUACUCUUUCAUUCUCUAUAUAUAUAUAUAUAUAUGGGAUUAUGGGUUCUAUCCUUUCUUCUUUAAGUACUUAGUAUCAUAUUUUGCACUUCGUAUUUGCAUGCAUGAGAUUUGAUAAUGAUCUUGUUGCAUUUAGAUUGGAGACAUGGCACUACCUAACAAAUCAAAAGGAGUGAAGAGAGAACGUUGUGAAGCUAAGAUAAAGAAUGGGAAUGAUUAUCAUACAUCAAAAAAGCAGAAGGAAGAUUCUGAAUAAAUCAUUUUGACUUGCGGGCUACAUCUAUACUUAUUCGCUGUUGCUCUUCCUCUAAAAAUUUUCUUUUGCAUUGUAGCAUUCUGAUGAAAUUGAAAUCAAGGGAGAAGUGUAGGUGUAAGAGGCGUGAGAUUUCUUUACUUGCUUCGCUAUACAUUUGUUUGCUCAUGAAAUUUUAGUUACUCUCAGAGAAGUAUAAUGCUUCAAGUCACAAAUGCUAAAGAAUAGUGUUAGCAGGUUCAUUUUUGUGCAUGUGCCUUGUAGUUGAGAACUUUUUGACCCUGCUCCCAGUGUUAAUACGUCUGCUAUUUUCACCUGGGAUCUAUUACCAUCUUGUGUUCAGAUUGAAAAAUUUACAGCUUGUCAUUGCUUCUUGUGAUUGGAGCUCAAGUUUUCAUCUCAAGCCUGUUUUGUCAUGAGACUCUAUUUUGCUUAUCGUGUUGUCAAAAUAAAUAAAUAAAGGAGGAAAAGAAUUUCAUUUUGUAGGAUGGAAUACUGUGG